AGAUUGAACGCUGGCGGCAUGCCUUACACAUGCAAGUCGAACGGCAGCACGGGGGCAACCCUGGUGGCGAGUGGCGGACGGGUGAGUAAUGCAUCGGAACGUGCCCAGUAGUGGGGGAUAACUAGUCGAAAGACUAGCUAAUACCGCAUACGACCUAUGGGUGAAAGCGGGGGAUUCGCAAGAACCUCGCGCUAUCGGAGCGGCCGAUGUCUGAUUAGCUAGUGGCGGGGUAAAGCCCACAAGGCUUCGAUCAGUAGCUGGUCUGAGAGGACGACCAGCCCACAACGUGGGACUGGACGACCGACGGCCCAGACCUCCUACGGGAGGCAGCGAGGUCGGGGUAAUUUGGACAAGUCGGGACGACAAGGCCUAGAUCCCAGUCCA
This 384-nucleotide ribosomal RNA is filed under the name uncultured soil bacterium. RNAcentral's name for it is "bacterial SSU rRNA". It matches the Rfam family "Bacterial small subunit ribosomal RNA", at positions 26 to 390 of the family's 1533-position model. The record is from RNAcentral.